This is an RNA transcript of Biomphalaria glabrata, 4230 nucleotides long. RefSeq lists it as uncharacterized. The record is from RefSeq and is a predicted model, not a curated record. The transcript has 10 exons. Lineage: Eukaryota; Metazoa; Mollusca; Gastropoda; Planorbidae.
UAAAGAUGGGAGAGAAUAAAAAGCCAAUCAAUAAUUAGGAAAUAUAAUAUUCAACGGCCUAUGCCUAUAGUAGCCUAUACCUAUCUUAUCUAAAUCUAUGACUAUGGCAAUUGUCAGUAGCAAAUGUCAAAGAAAACAAUCCAUGAUUUAACCAUGCUGAGCACUUGAUGGGCACUGGAGCAAUGGAAAGAUUUGUGCAGACUUCACCCUGUAGGUCAGUUGAUGAACAGAAUGAUAUACACAAAAUGUCAGGAGGCAGGAUUGGUGAAGUGGGAAAAUUAUCCAAGGAUCCUGACUGAUUACUGAUGCAUUCAUCUUCUAUAUGUCCAGGUAGCAAAAUCUGUUAUAUGCUGCCUCCUACACCAGGGCUGGUGUGUUUUGUUGACUGAAGGGAGAUCACAGCAGCUCUCCACACAUUCCUGUUGAGGGGGAGUUACUCAUCACCCUUGACCAGAACUGAAGGCAUUCCAGACUAAAGUCCCAGGACCAGUCUGUACCUACCAAAGGAGUAAGCCCACCGCAUGGCAUCCUCAUCACACUAGUACCUGCAGGACGUCAAGCCGAGAGGAACACCAACUCAUUUCACCUCUGAAGGAGAACCUUGGACAAAGAUAUAAGUGGAGGACAGCCGAGAUAAGCAAACCAUAUACGAGCGCUUGAGCAACAUCCCAGUGAUAAAAUUGUCUUAUAAACUAUCCUUAAUCUAUUUGUACAUCCCCCCAAACUCAUUGAUUGUAUAUCUAUUAAUCACCUCCUAUUAAGGAUGGCUGCCUGGUCGUGCGGUUUGCUCGCUGGACUGUCGUUCGGAUUUAUCGACGGUCGAGGGUUCAAACCCUGCCCGCUCCCAUCCCCCGUCGUCCUGCGGGAGGUUUGGACUAGGAAGUAAACUAUCUUCAACUCUGAAGGAACAUCCGAAUUAUGUAAAACAAAACAAAACAAAUAUUGUUUCUUUCACAAAAUCAUAAAGCUUUGGUUCUUGCUAAUGCCUGUCCACGUGCCUAUGCAAUAUCAACAUUCUAUUUAUCGCGUUUUAGCCCGAAGACUUUUUCCCUAGGAGUCACAGGCCCAUCAUCUCCAUUGGAAAGUACAAACUGUCCGAUCGGCUGACAUAUUCCACCACACCUAAAUAGUAUAUUGCAGGAAUAGGAAGACUCCCUUUAAACAGAUGGGUUGGUGAGUGGACAGUCGCAAAGAUAUGAUGUUGAUUUUUUUUUGGAAAUUGAACUCAUUUGACAAGAAUGUCAUACAGGGGUCCUUUCUGUAGUUCACUUUCACCGUUAUAAAGUUCAUCCAACUGUAGUUACGAUUUAUUAAAAAAUAGAAAUCCAGACCAACAUCCAAGCAUACUUGGAGCAGCAACUUUGUAUACAAUUGAAAUAUUUUUGCAAGAGAUUUUUAUACUUUUUCAGAAAUGAACACAUUUCUUAAAGACAUCACGUACUGUAGUAGUCGUUUCAAGAAGAUUGCAAAAGAGAAAUCCGUCUUUAUAAUCGCCAUCUUUGCGUACACCAGUAAUUAUGAUCCAUUUGCAACAUCUUUGGAUUCUUCAAGCUGGAUGAUAAAUAUUUGAAGUGGAGCAAAAUCCUUCACAAGUUUGCAUCCAACAUCACAAGACAAACCUUCACCUGGAACCCUAAAGAAUACAUGUCGUCGUUAUUUGGAAGCCUAUGCUAAGCAGAUGGGCAAGAUGUUCUGGACAGUUGGAGAGAUUUAUCCAGAACUGAGACGCCUGAAAGAAGGAGGUUGAUGACUAAUGCCUCAAUGCAGAGUUAUAUUUUCCGGGAUUAUUUGAUGGCUAAAUCACCAGACGUGUCAGCUAUUUUGUCUUUAGAUAUGGAAAUUGAACGUAAUUGAAUAGAUCUAGUUAGUACGGCUCCAGUUAUUACUGGUACUCGAACAAUGUAUUUGGCCACUAGCAACAGUAAGUCCUCAGCAAUGAUGUGAGGUUUCAUAUUGAUUACAUAUUGACAUUGAACAUCCGAGCUUUGCCGACAACGACAUACAGUACUUGAAAAAAAAAUGUAAAUUUGAAAGUCAAGAAAACCCAAACUUUACUGCUGGCAAAUAAACAAAAACUAGCAGUCGUCGAACGGUUGAACACCUAAUUUGGUGGCCUUCAGAAUAGCCCCUGCAUUUUGCGUAAUAUUUGAUUUUUAAUGUAAAAAACACUCAUUUGGAAGCCCCCAUGAAGUGGGGGACCGGAAGGAUUUUUCAAAUUAUCCUCCCUCCUUCCCCCAACCUAACUACGCCACUCCCCAUAACUCAUCUAUUCUAUGUAACUUUACAUCUUGUCACAGAACAGGGACUAUAGGAUGAGCAGAGCAAUAACGGCUGUAUAUUUAGAAUUGAAUGUACAUCUACACUUGACUUUAGGGAUCAGGUCUUACAUCAUUAGACCCAGGCAUUAUCUAUAAUUAGAGGAGCGAUAUACUAUCUUAUAUAAUAACUUAAGGAGCACACAGUGUGUAACAUCCUUGACUCUGUGUACAGACAGUGUGUCUCAUAGCAGAGUAUAUAGCUAAUCAAGGAAAUGGAUUACCGUAGAUCUGGUAUUUUAUUUUCCUUUCAGUUUCGUUGGGUUGACGUGUUUACUGUGUAGCGUACUGUCCAUGGAUAGUACAGUCGAAACGCAUAGUCGAUAAACAAAUUUAAGCAACACAAUUUUUAAGAGCUCAAAAUGUAUCAAAAUAUAUCCAGCGUUACAAUUUGGCUAAAUAGAUGCACAAGGUAUUGCGGCCGUCUUUGAAAGUAGAAUGUUAUUCUCAAGCAUUACACUCUGACAUCAAGAUUUGUAUUCAAGCUCUCUUUUGAACAAACGUAUAGGUUUUGUAAUAUCAGUUUAUAUCGCCAGUCACUGACAAUAAGAAAAGAAGUCUAAUUUCGUUAAUCCUUUAAAUCCAAGAAGAAAUGUUUGCAGACAAAAAAGAUCAAGACUUGGUGGAGAAAACUACGGAUGUCCAGGAUCGGUCAUUUGUCCACUCUGCAUCAGUCAAAUUAUUGUUUCAUCUAGUCUGUGUUCUGUUACUGACCGUUGUUGUUUUAUCAGUAUGUCUGUUUCAACUGCAACGGCGAGUACAUAACUUGGAAACGUAUUUACUUGACCUAGAUCAUCGAAAUGCUCUAGCCGUAGCCAGAAAGAAUUUAGAUCAAGAUCUAGCAGCAGACCAGUCAGUACAGGACGGUGAAGUCAUUAAACAUAAAGAAAACAUUGAACCCGGGCACCUGCAAAGAUUGUCCGAAAGUCAAUUCAAUUCUAAGAAUGGGAAGACAAAAUCUCGAGACACAACACAGGUCACUGAAACGUUCUUUCAUAAAUUAACCAGAAAUGUAAGAAACGUACAAAGUACUAACUGCAAAAUCAAUAUUCACGAUGUAUUACAAAGCUACUGCGAAGACGUGAACAAAAAGAAAGUCCCUCCUAAAAAGUUUAGAGUCGGCCAGCUAUGAAGCGAAAUUUUACAAAAUAUUCCCGUACAAGACGUUAAAAUCUAAGGCAGCGGGCGAAAACACGUUUACAGAAAGAGAGUUAUGGGCUCCUCACAUUGCAGUGGUAAACAUAGAGAACAUAAUUACUUAUCCAAGUAAAGAUAGUCCUCUUGGCAUCUUUAAUGUGAGCAAUGAAAGUGAUAUUACUCCACUGGUACAUGUAAACAACUGGAAGAGAGGCGAGUUUACUGUGAACAAAUCUGGCUUAUAUAGCGUACACUUUAAUAUUACUUUGAUAGACAAGUUAAGCAAUACAAAUAUCGGACUGUUUGUGAAUAAUAGAGCAAUGCUAGCCUGCCCUCCAGGAGGUUUCAUCUGUCCUUCUAACUAUUUUGACAGCAGCCGAUAUAGAAUAUGUAACAUUCAAGGUGUUCUCGCAUUGAGAAACGGAGAUGUCAUUGUUUUGAAGACAAUGGUUCCCAAUACAAUAAUCCGCCUAGAAAGUGGAAAAGCCUCAAUUCUUUACUUUGUUUUACUCUCAGAAGACAAGCCUGCACAGGGAUCCUCAUAGAGUGACUUCAAGGCCCUAACCUCACUUGAACGGUGCAUGUGGCCCUUUAAUAAGAAUGCACAAAACAAAUAAAAACAGCUAUGUAACAGAAGAAAACAAAAAAAAACACAAACUUUUCUUAUUCGCUGAGAAUAUAAUUUCGUUUGAAAACUAGAUGACCCACUAACUCGACAUUGAGAUUGACAAACAUCUAUCUAUAUCUGACCAUUUCAAUAAAGAUUUAAAAAAAAACA